UUCUGUUGAAGACGAUGAGAAAUCCAUGUCAAGUCUGGAAAUUAUUGUGCCACAUGAUUUAGCAGAUGGAUUUGUCAAUAAUAAACGAGAAAGCUACAAGUUCAAAUUUCAGAAAAUUUUUGAUCAAGAGGCUAAACAAGAUGUGGUUUUUGACAGCAUUGCCAAACCAGUGGCAGAAUGGCCCAUGUGAAGCAGAAGGGGAACUGACUCCGAAAAUGAAGAUCCAGUGACACUGAAACUUGAC
Struthio camelus australis is the source of this 244-nucleotide non-coding RNA. The record is from RefSeq and is a predicted model, not a curated record. Lineage: Eukaryota; Metazoa; Chordata; Aves; Struthioniformes; Struthionidae.